Molecule: RNA transcript, 1412 nt
Organism: Propithecus coquereli (Coquerel's sifaka)
Lineage: Eukaryota; Metazoa; Chordata; Mammalia; Primates; Indriidae
Gene name: BTB/POZ domain-containing protein KCTD15 pseudogene
Exons: 1
Source: RefSeq, a predicted model, not a curated record
GGCGAGGCUGCGCCCGGCGCCCGAGACCGGCGGCUGCGGGGGGCGGGGGCUGCGCCCGAGCCGGAUCCGCCGCUCCGGCUCCGAGCAGUGGUCUUGGGGGAAAGGCCGUGGCCCGGCACAGAUGCGUUUGUCCGCAAGAGCGUUGGAGAUUCGGGUGAAGGCGUAAAGCCUGGGGCUUCCAAUGGUACUCUGGGCAGCGAUGGAAGCCUAGAUGCCUCACCGCAAGGAGCGGCCGAGCGGGUCCUCACUUCACGCACAGGGCAGCGGCGGCACCGCGGAGGGAGGAAACAUGUCCCGGCUAUCUCUCACCCGGUCGCCCGUGUCCCCCCUGGCUGCCCAGGGGAUCCCACUGCCAGCUCAGCUCACCAAGUCCAACGCGCCUGUGCACAUCGAUGUGGGCGGCCACAUGUACACCAGCAGCCUGGCCACGCUCACGAAGUACCCUGACUCCAGGAUAAGCCGCCUCUUCAAUGGCACCGAACCCAUCGUCCUGGACAGUUUGAAGCAACAUUAUUUCAUCGACCGGGAUGGGGAGAUUUUCCGCUACGUCCUGAGCUUCCUGCGGACGUCAAAACUGCUGCUCCCGGAUGACUUCAAGGACUUCAGCCUGCUGUACGAGGAGGCGCGGUACUACCAGCUGCAGCCCAUGGUGCGCGAGCUGGAGCGCUGGCAGCAGGAGCAGGAGCAGCGGCGCCACAGCCGGGCCUGCGACUGCCUGGUGGUGCGCGUGACGCCUGACCUGGGGGAGCGGAUCGCGCUCAGCGGCGAGAAAGCCCUCAUCGAGGAGGUCUUCCCCGAGACCAGGGACGUCAUGUGCAACUCGGUCAAUGCCGGCUGGAACCAGGACCCCACGCACGUCAUCCGCUUCCCGCUCAACGGCUACUGCCGGCUCAACUCGGUGCAGGUCCUGGAGAGGCUGUUCCAGAGGGGUUUCAGCGUGGCCGCGUCCUGUGGGGGCGGCGUGGACUCCUCCCAGUUCAGCGAGUAUGUGCUUUGCCGGGAGGAGCGGCGACCACAGCCCACUCCCACUGCUGUCCGGAUAAAGCAGGAGCCCUUGGACUAGGCCCUGCCUUGCUACCCGCCUGGGACACCCCGGGGACCUGGAAACAGUGCUGGGGCGUCUUCUUGCGUGUGCCCAGCAGUGGGCAUGAGACCGAGGGCAGGGCUGGAAGGUGCAAAGGCGGCCCAGGGAGCACCAGGGCCCCAGCGUCAUGGCGACAGAACGUGGGAUGCUGGAGGCAUGCCCACCGAAGGACUGUUGAUGUGACCCAAAGAUGCCGUCGUGGGAACUCCGCUGCCAGCUCUCCCAGCCCCUUGCCCCCCAGCCUGGUGCAGCGUCCUCUGAGGCUGCGGGGCCCGUUGAGGUAGGGUCAGCAGAGGCGUCCGCAGCUACCCCAGAGGAGCCUUUGUCC